RNAcentral lists this ribosomal RNA (496 nucleotides) under uncultured bacterium. RNAcentral describes it as "partial 16S ribosomal RNA". It matches the Rfam family "Bacterial small subunit ribosomal RNA", at positions 28 to 506 of the family's 1533-position model. The record is from RNAcentral.
GAUGAACGCUGGCGGCGUGCCUAAUACAUGCAAGUCGAGCGAACAGACGAGGAGCUUGCUCCUCUGACGUUAGCGGCGGACGGGUGAGUAACACGUGGAUAACCUACCUAUAAGACUGGGAUAACUUCGGGAAACCGGAGCUAAUACCGGAUAAUGUAUUGAACCGCAUGGUUCAAUAGUGAAAGACGGUUUUGCUGUCACUUAUAGAUGGAUCCGCGCCGCAUUAGCUAGUUGGUAAGGUAACGGCUUACCAAGGCGACGAUGCGUAGCCGACCUGAGAGGGUGAUCGGCCACACUGGAACUGAGACACGGUCCAGACUCCUACGGGAGGCAGCAGUAGGGAAUCUUCCGCAAUGGGCGAAAGCCUGACGGAGCAACGCCGCGUGAGUGAUGAAGGUCUUCGGAUCGUAAAACUCUGUUAUUAGGGAAGAACAAAUGUGUAAGUAACUAUGCACGUCUUGACGGUACCUAAUCAGAAAGCCACGGCUAACUACGU